RNAcentral lists this ribosomal RNA (478 nucleotides) under uncultured bacterium. RNAcentral describes it as "partial 16S ribosomal RNA". It matches the Rfam family "Bacterial small subunit ribosomal RNA", at positions 28 to 523 of the family's 1533-position model. The record is from RNAcentral.
GACGAACGCUGGCGGCGUGCUUAACACAUGCAAGUCGAACGGUAAGGCCCUUCGGGGUACACGAGUGGCGAACGGGUGAGUAACACGUGGGUGAUCUGCCCUGCACUUCGGGAUAAGCCUGGGAAACUGGGUCUAAUACCGGAUAGGACCACUGCCUGCAUGGGUGGUGGUGGAAAGCUUUUGCGGUGUGGGAUGGGCCCGCGGCCUAUCAGCUUGGUGGUGGGGUGAUGGCCUACCAAGGCGACGACGGGUAGCCGGCCUGGGAGGGUGAGCGUCCACACUAGGACUGCGAGACGGCCCAGACUCCUACGGUAGGCAGCAGGGGGGAGUAUUGCACAAUGGGCGCAAGCCUGAUGCAGCGACGCCGCGUGAGGGAUGACGGCCUUCGGGUUGUAAACCUCUUUCAGCACCGACGAAGCGCAAGUGACGGUAGGUGCAGAAGAAGGACCGGCCAACUACGUGCCAGCAGCCGCCGUAA